GUAGCGGUGAAAUUGCGUAGAUAUAGGAAGGAACACCCAGUGGCGAAAGGCGGCUACCUGGACCAACACUGACACUGAGGUGCGAAAGCGUGGGGGAGCAAACAGGAUUAGAUACCCUGGUAGUCCACGCCGUAAACGAUGUCAACUAGCCGUUGGGACUCUUGAAGUCUUAGUGGCGCAGCUAACGCACUAAGUUGACCGCCUGGGGAGUACGGCCGCAAGGUUAAAACUCAAAUGAAUUGACGGGGGCCCGCACAAGCGGUGGAGCAUGUGGUUUAAUUCGACGCAACGCGAAGAACCUUACCUGGCCUUGACAUCCAGAGAACUUUCCAGAGAUGGAUUGGUGCCUUCGGGAACUCUGAGACAGGUGCUGCAUGGCCGUCGUCAGCUCGUGUCGUGAGAUGUUGGGUUAAGUCCCGUAACGAGCGCAACCCCUAUCCCUGGUUGCUAGCAGGUAAUGCUGAGAACUCCAGGGAGACUGCCGGUGACAAACCGGAGGAAGGUGGGGAUGACGUCAGGUCAUCAUGGCCCUUACGGCCAGGGCUACACACGUGCUACAAUGGCGCGUACAGAGGGCUGCCAACUCGCGAGAGUGAGCCAAUCCCUUAAAACGCGUCGUAGUCCGGAUCGGAGUCUGCAACUCGACUCCGUGAAGUCGGAAUCGCUAGUAAUCGCGAAUCAGAAUGUCGCGGUGAAUACGUUCCCGGGCCUUGUACACACCGCCCGUCACACCAUGGGAGUGGAUUGCACCAGAAGUAGUUAGUCUAACCUUCGGAGGACG
Molecule: ribosomal RNA, 781 nt
Filed under: Marinobacter alkaliphilus
Lineage: Bacteria; Pseudomonadati; Pseudomonadota; Gammaproteobacteria; Pseudomonadales; Marinobacteraceae
Description: bacterial SSU rRNA
Rfam family: Bacterial small subunit ribosomal RNA
Source: RNAcentral